GACGAACGCUGGCGGCGUGCUUAACACAUGCAAGUCGAACGGAAAGGCCCCUUUGUGGGUCCUCGAGUGGCGAACGGGUGAGUAACACGUGAGUAACCUGCCCUUGACUUCGGGAUAACUUCAGGAAACUGGGGCUAAUACCGGAUAGGAAUCCUUUCUUCAUGGUGGGGGUUGGAAAGCUUCGGCGGGUUUGGAUGGACUCGCGACUUAUCAGCUUGUUGGUGGGGUAGUGGCUUACCGAGGCGUUGACGGGUAGCCGGCCUGAGAGGGCGACCGGCCACAUUGGGACUGAGAUACGGCCGAGAUUGCGACGGGUGGCAGAAGUGGGGAAGAUUGACCAAUGGGCGGAGGCCUGGUGCAGCAAGGCCGCGUGCGGGAUGACGGUCUUCGGGUUGUAAACCGCUUUCAGAAGGGGCGAAGCUUGUGGUGACGGUACCUGCAGAAGAAGCACCGGCUAACUACGUG
RNAcentral lists this ribosomal RNA (465 nucleotides) under uncultured bacterium. RNAcentral describes it as "partial 16S ribosomal RNA". It matches the Rfam family "Bacterial small subunit ribosomal RNA", at positions 28 to 507 of the family's 1533-position model. The record is from RNAcentral.